RNAcentral lists this ribosomal RNA (497 nucleotides) under uncultured bacterium. Its description in RNAcentral is "partial 16S ribosomal RNA". It matches the Rfam family "Bacterial small subunit ribosomal RNA", at positions 28 to 507 of the family's 1533-position model. The record is from RNAcentral.
GAUGAACGCUGGCGGCGUGCCUAAUACAUGCAAGUCGAGCGAACAGACGAGGAGCUUGUUCCCUUGACGUUAGCGGCGGACGGGCGAGUAACACGUGGAUAACCAACCUAUAAGACUGGGAUAACAUCGGGAAACCGGAGCUAAUACUGGAGAAUAUAUCCAACCGCAGGGAUCAAUAGUGAAAGACGGCUUUGCUGUCACUAAUAGACGGUUCCGCGUCGCAUUAGCUAGUUGGUAAGGUAACGGCUUACCAAGGCAACGAUGCGUAGCCGACCUGAGAGGGUGAUCGGCCACACUGGAACUGAGACACGGUCCAGACUCCUACGGGAGGCAGCAGUAGGGAAUCUUCCGCAAUGGGCGCAAGCCUGACGCAGCAACGCCGCGUGAGUGAUGAAGGUCUUCGGAUCGUAAAACUCUGUUAUUAGGGAAGAACAAAUGUGUAAGUAACUAUGCACGUCUUGACGGUACCUAAUCAGUAAGCCACGGCUAACUACGUG